AUUAACGGUGGAAACUGUUUCCCAUUAAUGUGUAAUCAAGAAGCAGGCAGGCCAUUUACUUUGAAAAAUAAAAUAAGAAACCCGCCUCCCUCCCUAUGUGACCUUCCUGACUGCUCCCCACCCCCCAUCGCCAACCUGUUUGUCCAACUUAGCGUCUCAAAGAAUCAAUUCCCUUUUGGUCCCAGAACCAGGAACAAAUCAAGAAGAGCUGGGUGGAUUUUUUUUUUUUUCCGUCGUGAGUUAAAAUAUUCCAAAAGCUUCAGGCUUCCAUUACAGUUGACCUUUCAGGCGUGCUGCAGCAAAAAAAGUUAAUUCACUUCGCACAUGUGGGGGAGCAACAGGUGGUAGCCAACCACGGGGGCUGCUGGCAUUCCUCCGUGUGCAAACCCCCGGCCCCCGGUACUCUGGGAUUUACACUACCUCCCCCAGGCCCUGAGUGACAAGCUAAUCGGUGCGCGGGGAAGCGCUGAGCUAUUGAUUCCGCUGUAACAGAACACCACCCCGUCGAUGAAACUGCAAUGAAAUGCUUCAGCAGCGAAGAAAGGGAGGCAUUGGACUGUUGAACAACUGGAGGAAAUUUGCUGCUGUCAUGACUGGAGUCACCAUGAACAUUCCUGUACAAGUCUUUGUGUGCAAUAUGUUGCCAUUUCUCCUGGAAAAAUGUCUAGGAGUGAAAUUGCAGAGUCAUAUGGUUUUUAUAUGCUAUUAAAAACACAAAGCGCAUACACCAAGCUCCAUGGGACGUAACACAAGCGGAACCUGAAAUCAAGGCGAAAAACCAACAGUGACGAAUGUUUGCAAAAGCUCUCAGCAAAGAAAAUGAUUCAUUAAUUUUCCAACCAACAAUCUCUAGUUGCUUCCUUACUGCUUAGCAGCAAACUCCUAGAGGCCAGCGUGAACGAAAAAUACUGCAAACCAUGUCAGUAAACAAGGAACGCUGAAGCCAUCAAGUCAUCAACGGCUGCCCCCACCCCCUAGUGAAGACAAGCCUGCAGCCCGGCCUCUUCAGCCACUCACCA
Vicugna pacos (alpaca) is the source of this 1019-nucleotide non-coding RNA. The record is from RefSeq and is a predicted model, not a curated record. NCBI's taxonomy places the organism in Eukaryota, Metazoa, Chordata, Mammalia, Artiodactyla, Camelidae.